GGGGGCGAAAUAGUCUCGACGUAGGUAGUCGGGGUAAGAGUAGCGAGCCGAGGACCCGAGCCUCGUAAAAAGCGGGAAAAGCACAAACGCCAAGAACGAAUACGCUCUAGCCGCCUAAUAGUGCGGCUACGUUCCUCCGGAUUUUUCCCGUCGAUCCGGUAAGGGGCGUCAACGAGGCGGGAUAUCCUUUAGGCUGACGCCUGCAGGCCUAAAGGGAAAACCUGCCGGCUGGUCUUCUCCGAACCCUGCCUUCGGGGGUCGAGAAGGCGAGACUUAAAGCGGAGGAUACGCUCGUAGAAGCUCUUAUCCGGGCACUUGCGGACCCGGUUGCGAAACCGGCGCCUCCACCA
This 350-nucleotide transfer-messenger RNA is filed under the name Clostridia bacterium. It matches the Rfam family "transfer-messenger RNA". From Rfam's summary of the family: Bacterial tmRNA, also known as 10Sa RNA or SsrA, is named for its dual tRNA and mRNA-like properties. Its role is to liberate the mRNA from a stalled ribosome. Lineage: Bacteria; Bacillati; Bacillota; Clostridia. The record is from RNAcentral.